UCGGGAAUUUUGGGCAAUGGGGGCAACCCUGACCCAGCAACGCCGCGUGAAGGAAGAAGUCCUUCGGGAUGUAAACUUCGUAACUAUAGGAAGAAACAAAUGACGGUACUAUAAGUAAGCCCCGGCUAACUCCGUGCCAGCAGCCGCGGUAAUACGGAGGGGGCAAGCGUUGUUCGGAUUUACUGGGCGUAAAGGGCGCGUAGGCGGCCGGAGAAGUCACUUGUGAAAUCUUGAAGCUCAACUUCAAGCGGCCAAGUGAUACUCUUCGGGCUAGAGUGCAGAAGGGGCAACUGGAAUUCUUGGUGUAGCGGUGAAAUGCGUAGAUAUCAAGAGGAACACCUGAGGCGAAGGCGGGUUGCUGGGCUGACACUGACGCUGAGGCGCGAAAGCUAGGGGAGCA
This 400-nucleotide ribosomal RNA is filed under the name uncultured bacterium. RNAcentral's name for it is "bacterial SSU rRNA". It matches the Rfam family "Bacterial small subunit ribosomal RNA", at positions 355 to 770 of the family's 1533-position model. The record is from RNAcentral.